Magnolia sinica is the source of this 1068-nucleotide long non-coding RNA. RefSeq lists it as uncharacterized. The record is from RefSeq and is a predicted model, not a curated record. The transcript has 5 exons. NCBI's taxonomy places the organism in Eukaryota, Viridiplantae, Streptophyta, Magnoliopsida, Magnoliales, Magnoliaceae.
ACCUGACCGGUCACAUGCUGGGCACUACCAAAGAUAAUGUAUUCCAAAGAAACCAACGAAUGGAUAAUCCUUGCAAAUGAUUGGGAGACUCCUUCAGGGCGGCAAUAAUCCAGACAAUCUGUUGCUUGCUGGGUUCAGCCCUAUCAGACGCACAUUCACUUAUGCUGCCCACAUAUCUAUGCUUGGCCCUGGGGGGUAGCCCUGGGGGGUAAUAGUGGUGGUUGCACCGACGAGAACACAAGCUGUGAGAGGUGGGUCGCUCUCGGAGAGUGCACGAAAAACCCAGAGUAUAUGGUGGGAUCUGCAGAGGUUCUUGGUGCCUGUAGGAGGAGUUGCAAGGUGUGUUAGCUGACUGUUUUGGUCAUGUUAGCAGUUGUCGUAAUCUCACUGGGGUUGCUACUGGUGGUGAUCUCUUCUAUGGGUACGCUUUUUGGAAGAUGGGUCUGUGAAUUACAUAGUUGGAGCGAAGCAACCUGACUAUCUAGUUAUUACUGAUGAUGUUGAUUCAUACCUUGCCAUUGAAGUACAGCCCCUUGAGGACUGGAACAGGAAGUGAGGCAAAUGCAUUUUAGUGGCUGACCACAAGGGUAUUUUGAUGCAAACAUCAAUUGGGCCCCCAGUACCACCACUCCUAGAAGAAUAAGUCAUGUAUCCUUGCCAUUUUGUUUUGUUUUGCAGGUCCAGUGGAGCUUACUGCAUGUAAGAUGAUGAGAACUGAAGAACGAGGAAAUGAAAAUCUGGAAGAGGCUUUACCUUUAAGCAAUGAAAUGAAAAAUUUGCCUUCACAUCUUGGUAUGCCAACAUCCAUACAGCCUUGUUCUUAAUAAGAAGAAAUGGUUGGUCAGAUAAAGUGAUGAAAUUAGAAAGUGUCUGAAUUUUCUUUUGAUCUCUUUCAUAUUGAUUUUUUCAUGUUUACAUUCAUUUGGAGUUUCUUAGUUCAAUUCAACCACCUGGAAAAUCAACAUGCUUUCUUUCAUCAUUGCUCUAUCAGAUUCUGGCAAGGAUGAGUACCACCCAUUCAUUGCUUUUGAAAAUCAAAAUAUGGCAGAAAGCAGGUUUUUUUUUUUU